RNAcentral lists this ribosomal RNA (454 nucleotides) under uncultured Barnesiella sp. RNAcentral's name for it is "partial 16S ribosomal RNA". It matches the Rfam family "Bacterial small subunit ribosomal RNA", at positions 341 to 792 of the family's 1533-position model. Lineage: Bacteria; Pseudomonadati; Bacteroidota; Bacteroidia; Bacteroidales; Barnesiellaceae. The record is from RNAcentral.
ACGGGAGGCAGCAGUGAGGAAUAUUGGUCAAUGGUCGGAAGACUGAACCAGCCAUGCCGCGUGAAGGCAGACGGUCCUAUGGAUUGUAAACUUCUUUUGUACGGGAGCAAUAAGGUCUACGAGUAGGCCGAUGAGAGUACCGUACGAAUAAGCAUCGGCUAACUCCGUGCCAGCAGCCGCGGUAAUACGGAGGAUGCGAGCGUUAUCCGGAUUUAUUGGGUUUAAAGGGUGCGCAGGCGGCACGUUAAGUCAGCGGUGAAAUGCAGGGGCUCAACCCCGGCACUGCCGUUGAAACUGGCGAGCUCGAGUACGGAUGAAGUCGGCGGAAUGUGAUGUGUAGCGGUGAAAUGCUUAGAUAUGUCACAGAACACCGAUUGCGAAGGCAGCUGACUAAUCCGCAACUGACGCUCAGGCACGAAAGCGUGGGGAUCGAACAGGAUUAGAUACCCUGGUA